GUUCUGGGAGAAAGUGAGUGUGGCGGAGGAGAGGAAAGAAGCUAUGGUGGUGCUGUGGUGUUCUCAGUUGAAGAUUCUGUCUCACUCGUCUGUAGGGUGCUUUGUGUCACACUCCAACAAAAAUUCAUCAUUAUUUACAAAAGGGAGCUAAAAACAAAGAGUUUUUCCAUUCGAAAAAAGGUCUGUUUUCUGCCAUCUAUUUCUCUCAUUAAUCAGCUUACCAUGACAAGCAGAUUCCUAAUACUACAUGGAUCUACUUUGAGCUAUUAGCUCCCCCAUUUUGCAUGGUCAAAAUAAAUGUAAGCUCAUGAUAUAUGAUUUAAUUGUGGACUUGUUCUGCGUAUGAACUGAAUGUUUCUUUUGCAUGUGCUCCUUGGACUCGGAUUGCGUAGUGUGGCACACAGCACCAAUGUCAGUACUGUGCACUAUUGGAAAAGCUGUGGGGCCCAUCAUGAUGCAUGUGUUUUAUCCACAACAAGCAGAUUCCUACUACCACAUGGAUCUACUUUGAGUGAUUAGCUCUCUCAUUUUGUGCAAUCAAAAUAAAUGUUAAGCUGCGAUUUCGUGUGUGCCACUAAUUAGAUUGGCAAGAGUUCUACAAACGGCUCUACCCACCAGACAUUACUCUCCAUCACUAAUAGAUUCAUGUGUGCCACUAAUUAGAUGAUAGGGCAUUUGAGUACAAGAAAAACAGAAGCAAGAAGGACACUGAAGUGGCAUAUGCAGAAGGACAGAGAAGUUUACAUUUUCUUCAUUCUUCUUUUCACUUCUCUGAUAUUCCAUUGUAUUAAAGAAGUCUUGUACUAAGAAAGAUUUGAUUCACAACUUAGAAAAUCACAAAGCAACAAUAUUUUUGUGAAUACAAAUUCCUCA
Magnolia sinica is the source of this 873-nucleotide long non-coding RNA. RefSeq lists it as uncharacterized. The transcript has 3 exons. The record is from RefSeq and is a predicted model, not a curated record. Lineage: Eukaryota; Viridiplantae; Streptophyta; Magnoliopsida; Magnoliales; Magnoliaceae.